This 1609-nucleotide long non-coding RNA is filed under the name Medicago truncatula (barrel medic). RNAcentral describes it as "long non-coding RNA (MTRU_LNC000447)". Lineage: Eukaryota; Viridiplantae; Streptophyta; Magnoliopsida; Fabales; Fabaceae. The record is from RNAcentral.
AGCAAAUCAGUACGGUAAUUCCCAUCCAAAAUUUCACCAAAGUCUUUGAACCUCAUAGGGACUAUAGGGAUUUCAAGAAAAUGAUCAUGGUUGCACCUGUGACAACAAGUCGGUAUGAAUGAGUGGAUGCCUUCAUCACAAUAUCAUUUUUAAGGACCUUAAAGUUCACCAUCUCAUAAGUCUUGUUUUUCACCAACAUUUAUUUCCAUUCAUCAAGUUGAUCAUUUGGAACUGUAACUUGAAUAGUGUCAUUCUGCACAUGAAAUUACUACAACUCAUUAACAAUAAAUUUUAAUUAGAUUAUCUCUCAAAAUAAGUAGACUAUUUGACAGCAGAAUGACCUUCUUAUCAACCACGACCAUAUCGAAAUGCUCUUGUCUGAAUUUACCCAUAACAGAUCAAGCAUCUGCAACCCUGACAGCAAAAGUCCCAACAUCUUUCUCCUGAUUCACAUCUUUGAUGUUGUCAUAAGGACGACAAACAUCUUUCUUCUUAUCCAUGUAGCACCUAAAAGUGUAUAUGCACAAACUUAGUUAUCCAAAAUAUCUACAAUGUGACAAAGAUAGUAUAUUUAAGUGCUUAUCAUUAAAGGUAAAACAACAAAGUUUAUAUAGUUUUACCAAACAACAAUGGUUUGAACACAACCCCUAAAACAUAAACCACAAAUGAGUGCAACUUUAUAAAAUUGUUUAUUCUUAUCCAUGUUCAAGUAUAAGCAGCAAGAUGGUUGCACACAAUAUUAACAAUGUGACUAAGAGAUUAAGCUUCGGUACCAAUAAUAACAUGUAAAACAAUAUAAUUUCAGUUCUUUUACUGUGAGAACAAAUUUUUAGAUUUACAACAUGAAAAAUGAAGAACUUUAAAGAAAAUGAUGUAAAAAGCGCACAAUAUGUAUUUUCAAGGAUGUAGAACAUGAAUAUGACACUGAUUUAACAAAAGCAUGAUAAAUGGCUUCUUUUACAACUAAAAUAUCGCGAGGAAAAUUUCAAAAUCAUCACAUGCAAAAUUAUUUUCACUCUAAAAGCAUGAAAUCAGUGCUUUUGUUUUAUAGAUAAACAUAAUAUAAUGAAUAAGUUGAAGAUAGCAGCGAUUGAAAGCAACAUGCAUUCAAAACAACAUUCAAAGCUGUAAUAAUAUUGAAAACAAAGAAAAUGCAAUGAAUAAUCAAACACAUGAACCAAUUAAACAACAUGCAAGUGAUAACAGGAAAAAAUCGAAAGGAAUGGCUGAGAGAGAGUACCUAAAGCAGAGAUUUUUGUGAUGGAGAGAAGGAACUUGGUAGAGAGAAUAUAGAAAGUUUAGAGCUCUUUGAUAAGUCAAUAAAAUGUGGUUUUUAAGUGUCAAGUUUAUUAGGAUUUUAUUUGUUUGGGUUAAUAGUGCUUUACGCCCCUGUAAUAUAGGUCACUUUUGAUUUUGCCCCCUGUAAAAUAUUUUUUUUAGAUUCCGUCCUUGUAAAAUAAAGAUUCUUCAUAAAUAGACCCUGACCCAUCCAACUCAUCAGAUUGGCUGAUGUGGCGCUGAUAUGGCACGUUGACUCAACAUUCUUUGAUUACGUGGCACCGUGACUGUAUAAUUAAUUUUAUUUUUCUUUUUUUUUAUUAAAUUGGAU